GACAGAGGUGCCGAGCGUUAUGCGGAAUCACUGGGCUUAAAGCGUGUGUAGGCGGGUCGUUAAGUGCCUUGUGAAAUCCCACAGCUCACCUGUGGAACUGCUUGGCAUACUGGCGAUCUUGAGCCACUUAGGGGCAACCGGAACAAACGGUGGAGCGGUGAAAUGCGUAGAUAUCGUUUGGAACGCCAAUGGUGAAAACAGGUUGCUGGGAGUGUGCUGACACUGAAGAACGAAAGCCAGGGGAGCAAACGGG
This 253-nucleotide ribosomal RNA is filed under the name uncultured bacterium. RNAcentral describes it as "partial 16S ribosomal RNA". It matches the Rfam family "Bacterial small subunit ribosomal RNA", at positions 524 to 776 of the family's 1533-position model. The record is from RNAcentral.